GCCAUGGGACCUGCUUUGGCCAAUGGGAGAUCAGCAGAUAUGAUGCAAGCAGAGGCUUGAAACAGGCUCACUCACUGGGGUUUGGGCUCCUGCUCCUCUGCCAUCUCCAUGAGAAGAACAUGCUCAAGAGAGCCUGCUGGAUACAGGAGUGGGCCUCUAGACUUUUGGAGCUGCUGCUGCCAUUUUGGAACCAUGAGGGGAGCUGACAACGGGACAGGCUAACAUUCUGAGGAGGACAGAUGAGGAAGAUCCUGAGUCCCAGAUGUCGCUGAGGAGCCGUCCCCUCGUGAGCCUUGGAGCUGCCCUAUCUCGGGGCUGCUUGUUACACAUCCUCGUUGUUCAGGCCGUGUUUCCUCACAGUUUCUGUUCCUUACAGCUCAACUCUUCCUGCCUGAUCCGGAUGCUUCCUCAGAAGAGGAAAAUCCAAGUUAAAGAGAAGGAUGCAGCUGGUCCCAGGACCGCCCUUGGAAUAGCAAGUCUGUAGGAGACUUGGAGCUCCUGCCUGUCUUACAGAAGAGGAGGGUGAGUCCCACGAGGGGCUGCUCCAAGCCCACAGAGAUCCAGAAAGCUGCUGAGAGAGGCAGCACAGAACCCAGCCGUCCCGGUGGAGUUCAAUGAGAGAUUAACUUUUCCAUCCUCAUCAGAAACAACCAUGUGAAGUGUAUCUAUGCAUUGCGAGUUCCUUUCCCUCACCCCGAGAGCCAGCGCCCCAUUUCCUGAAUGAGGUAAGUUUUAUUCCUGACUCUCAGACGGGAGGAAGAGAUGGACAAUGUCAAGAACAAGGGCAUUAAACUAAAAUGAGUGGUGUUCUACUGGGGGAGAAGUGGAAACACAUUACCUCAGGGCCCGUGGCAUAAAACAUAGCGUAGAAGGAGCAGCCAGGGUUUAAGAAAUCAGGAGAGUAUGCAGAAAUAGUCAUUGCUUUGCCAACGUGAGGGAAAUACACACAACUCACUCCUCUUUGGGGCGGCAUCCAGGCUGACGCGGCUCCACUAUGUGGCAAACUGAGAUGGGUCCUUUGGCUUUUCCAAGUCUAUCCCAGAGUUAUUCCUUACUUAAGAGGACAUGUCCAACACAUCCCACCGUCUGGGGCACUGCCCAAAUGCCAUCACAUUUACCAUCACUGUGGGUUCUAAUUUUUCCCCACACCUGACCUUUGCUCUCAUUUGACUCAUCCCAAAGCCCAGUCCUUGCUCCUGGUACAGCCAGAAAGGAACUAACUAAAGAAAACAUACAGUGCCCCUCUUCAAGGAAAGCGCUAGAAACUCCCGGCUCCUGAAUGCAAUCCUUUAGAGAAGGCGUGACUCAAGCCUAAAUAAGAUCUGAUGCUUAACAAUCUUCCGUCACCCACAAGCCCUCUUGGUGUCAGCAAAGGUUUUCCCAUCAGCCGCUGGAAGGAAUAAGAAAAGGAAGCAAAUCAAACUGCCGAGUGUCGCUUAGCCCCAAAUGGCGACAAGAGCCCAGAGGGGCAAGUGCCUGGAGAAAAUAUUUCAAUUCUUCUGCAUCAUGACAAUAAUUAUUCCAGCAAUUCUUUUUAUUUUCUAUCAAAGCACAACCAGUAAACUCUCACAGGUCUCUGUGCUGUUUGCUGGAAGUAAAGGACAAGACAAAUCGCUCUCAUCCUCAGAGAGUUGAGAAUCCAUAGGAGGAGGAAGAAAUGAUACAAAGACUAGGAAACAAGGUGAAGAGCAGCUCCUGCAGUCCAAAGGGCAGCAGAAUUGCUGAGGGAGGGGAGCAUGAGCCCUGGUAGAGCACCACCCUCUGGGCAAUUUUCAUAGUUAGUUUUGUGGUCCUGGAUUCUCCACUCCCCUAGGGAUAUCUUGAAUAUGAAACAAGUUGUCUACCUUAAAGAAUAAAUGAACAGGAAAUACUGUGUAUAGGCAGUCCUCUGCUUUUAUAAAUGUGAAAACAUGUAUAAAAGUAACUGCAUAGAAGUGGAGCAAAAGACUGACACAUUACACAUGGUUGUUCCAUCCCAAACAGCACUGUACAGUUGGGCAGGUUAUUCACUGUACGAGGGCACCCAGCCAAGAGGGUAAGUGGGGACUGACAUCCGGCUGUGUACUCUGGUGCAGAGUUGUAUUUAUUGAGAAAACAAGGAGUCCCUUUUUCUGAUUUGCACAGGACACCAUAUCGGCUAGUAGUGGCCCUGAUCCUGAGAGGUUAAAAAAUAUUUUUAAACUCCAGUCAAAUAUUGAUAGCAUUUUCUUUCAUGCUGUUUUUUUCUUUGCUGUUGAGUCUAUGGUAGAUCCACUUAAAUCCAAUGAGCAUGUAAAUAAGCCAAAGAUUGGCCACUUUGGUUAACGAUUUCCAUCUUUUAAAGAUGGAAAUCUUGCUUUAAGCAAGUGAUAGGUGCAUCUCUCUCAUGUGAGCACUUUUUUUUUUUCUACUUUUCACUCUUUUUUUUUUUUUUUUUUUAAAGAUUUUAUUUUUUCCUUUUUCUCCCCAAAGCACCCCCGGUACAUAGUUGUGUACUCUUCGUUGUGGGUUCUUCCAGUUGUGGCAUGUGGGACGCUGCCUCAGCGUGGUCUGAUGAGCAGUGCCAUGUCCGCGCCCAGGAUUCGAACCAACGAAACACUGGGCCGCCUGCAGCGGAGCGCGCGAACUCAACCACUCGGCCACGGGGCCAGCCCCUUUUCACUCUUUUUUUAAAACAACACGGGCAAAACGCAAUGAAACUUUGCAACAGUCACAUGUGUCCUGUUGAACAAAAGCGGCAACUGCUCACGGUGCCCUGUCACCUGGCAGGCAGCACCAUCUUGGGUGGCUCAAAUGAUUUUUUCAGUAGCUGGCGCAUGACAGCCUAAAUUUGUUCCAGAAGAGGCAGAUUAGGGGUGUCGACGCAUACGAUGCUUCUCCAAUCGUCCGGUGGGGGACCCCCUCUAACACUUGCACCAAACGUUAGCUAUAGGCUCCUGCUUGAUGCUGAGAAUUCCUGGCACCCUCCCCCAAGGCACAGCCCCCCAUGCUGUACCCUCUUCUCCUGCUGCUCGGGACGCCUGGGUGCCUGUAAACCCCUGCGUCCAUCUCCUGUGCUCACUGCUCUCUCGGCCCGUUUGGCACAGUUCAGAAGCAGCCAGGAAUCCUUCCCAGCUCCGACCCUGUGGGAUCUGCCCUCUUGCUGGCUCCAUCUCCCAGAGGGACCAGGACCUCCGAGGUUAUGAGUGGCACUUGCCGACUAGCCUGUCCCCUCCAGGAGCAGACCCCCCUCCGUUGCUGUCUGGUGGAGGAACUCAUUUGCCAUCCCUGCAGGUCUCCACUAAUUGUUCCCUUUUCCCUCCCCCUUUUCCUAAUCUGGCCAUUCAUCCAUAGCAGUAUCCGCUUAUUCCAUGAACAUUUGCCAGGUAACUCCUUGCAUGAGGCCCCGCGCUAGGCACUGGGCGAUGCACUGACAGACGUGGCGCUGAGGCCCUAGAGGUGGGGGAGGUAGACGACAAACAAAUAUGCAUGAAUAAGGACCAACUGGUGGUGUGAAGAGACUAACCAGAGUGUCCUUCAGAAGAGUCGGGGGAGGGCACGCUCACAGAGUCAGGGCCGGCCUCUCUGAGCAGAUGACCCCCAGGCCAAGCCCUAAAGGGUAAGAGGGAGUCAGCCAUGUGGAGAGCAGGCAAGAGAGGUCCAGAGAGAGACACAGCGCGGGUGAAGGUCACAAGGCCUAACCAAAGACUGGGAGCAUGUGCACCUGUCUGGAGCAUGUGGGGGAGGGGGGAGUGGCAGGAGGGGGAGUGGUGGGCGAGGUGGACAGGGGCCACUCACACAGGGACAACCUUGUGUCCUACAGGGCCUGCAAGAGCCUCUGUGAUUGCGUGGCCCUCUGACCCUGGCCCCAUCCACCUUACCUUAUGUAUUCCAAUCUUGCUGUGUUUGGAUAAGUGGCCCUGAGUCACAUCUUCCACCAAAAUUGUAGAAAUGGUUCCAAAUGAAUCUCUCUUCCUCUUUUCUACCAAGAAAUUAAGAGGGUAUUGAAAUCUGAAUACAUCCCACCAGAUUGACUUGGUUAGAUCAGCUUAAAAGGAACGCAUGAAUUCACGCAACUUCUGAAUUGAUUCGAUUUUGAGUAUCCUUGAUGCCAAACAAUGAGCUCGCUGAAGGUGCCGGCUUUGCUUCAGUGGCUUGGGAGCCCCGAGACCUGACCACAGACAGAGCCGAGGCGGGAGGAGCGAGCGGGAGCCGAGGAGGACAGCUCCCCAACAGCCCAGGACGAGCAGCUAAGCUGUCUCAGGUCCUGCCUGUGCUGGGAGACCAGCCACGCCUUCCUGCCUGCUGGGAGGAGAGGCACAGGUGCAACCUUUCUGGCAGUUUCUGUGGAUGUCUCAUAUGCACAUGCCCUUUGACUCAGCAGCUCUGUUAGAUGCCCCCCGAUGGGUAUACUCACUGAGGUACAGCAAGACAGCACAGGCGUUUGUAACCCCCAAAAGCUGGAAACAACCUAAAUGACUUUCAGUUGGCCAAAUCUGGCUGAGUGGAUUUUGGUCCACCCAUAUGAUAGACUACUGUGCCGUGAUUAUAAAGAAGGAGCUAGAUCUUUAUGGCCUGAGAUUAAGACUUCAAACAGUAAAUGAUACUAGAGAUGGUCAGUUCAGUCCAACAACCCAUCUACGGAACACCUCCUAUGAACACCUACAUCUGACGCUAUAUGAGGCCUGGGGAGAGAGCAGAUACUAAUGCAAUUUUGUCCCUGCCCCCCAGGAAGCAGACACACAUAGAUAACUCUCACAGCUGCAGGCAAGGGGGAAGUGCUACGAGAGGUGGGAGUAACAUGGUUAGGAAGGAAGGGAGAGAUUCUCUGUAGCCAAUGGGACUGGGAAGGUUUCCUGGAGGAGGCAGGAAUGAUCUGCGACAGUCCACAGGGGCUGUUCCAGGCUGGGAAAACAGCUUGAGCAAAGACCCAGAGGCAGAAGAAAAAUGGGUUUGUGCAGGGAGGGUGGAGAGGCUGACACCCAGAAUGCCUGGCAAAGGGGUGAGUGGAGGGAGAGGUGGGCAGGAAAGCCAAGUGGUUAGAGCUGACAGUGGAGCCAGGAGCUGGGCCUGAGAGAGCUGAGUACCAGGCGGAGAAGUCUGCACUUAAUUCUGUGAACCUGAAACUUUCUGAGUCAGGGACAAAAAGGUGACAGUCUGGUUUGUAAAAGUCAGUGCCACCUCCCAAAACAUCGCAGUGCCUAUGGAGCAGGUGCUGGUACGAGGGCCGGGAAGAGCUGGUGAGCAAGCUCAUCGACGCUGGCCUUGCAGAGGGCACAACAGAGCGGCAGGGCUGUGGGGACGAGGUCUGCUGGGGUCUGACGUGCCUUUUGUCUCUGGGAAUCAGCUCCCUGCUCCCUAGAGCCAGGACAAGGAUGUCACUGGCCAGGAGCCACUGCACUUGCCCGCUGGUAGCUGUUCUAGAUGACUCAGCUAGGCUGCCUCCAGAACCCACCCCAGAAUCAGCCUCUGGUGGUCCCGAGACAGGUAACAUGGACAAGGCAGUCCAGGACCGCAGGCAGAGAUGUCACACAAAACACCUUCAACAUGACUCACUUAAAAAAACAACCAAAAAAGCAGAUUUCCUGUUUGCCUCUCUGAAGAGGAAGCUUUCUGUAACUUCUCAAAUCUCUCAGGCCCCAGUGCUGACUCUUCUCUCCCUGAGGAACCCGCAGCCUCAGCCCCGGCGGGAAGUGUCCCAUUAAGCAAUAGGCAUCCACUACAUCCAACUUUUCAACAGCUGAUUCCAGCCAGCCUUCUCUACCUGUUUCCAGCCCCGAGAGUAUUGCGGAGAUUAAUCAGAGAGAAGCUGUCUGCAAGAAGGCAACCCCCUUACAAGUCUCCCAGAGCAGGGCCCCUGUCUCACUCAGCCGCUCAUUCCUUACAUACUUUCGACUGUGCCAGGCAUUCUAGGUAACAGAGCAGUGUGGUUAUGGGCGUGGGCUCUGGAGCAAGACGGCCCGAGUUCCUCUCUCAGCUCCACCACUUACACAUUGUGUGACCUUGGGCAAGUUAAUAAGCUUCUCUGAGCCUUAGGGAAAAUAACGUUACCUACCUCGUCAGAGUCUGAGGAUUCAACGAGGCAUAUAAAUUUAUGAGAACAAGGAAUAAGGACACGUACCCACACAAAACUUGUACGCAGAUUUUCAUCAUAACAGCCAAAAAGAAGAAACAACCCAAAUGCGCAACGACUGAGGAAUGGAUAAAUGAAAUGUGGUACGAUAGAUUAUUCAGCCAUGGAAAGGAAUAAAGUGCUGACACAAGCUACCAUAAGGAUAAGCUCGGAGAACAUUAUACUAAGUGAAAGAUGCCAGCCUUGAAGGACGGCCUAUUGUAUGAUUCCAUUGAUAUGAAAUGUCCAGAACAGGAAAUGGACAGAGAUAGAAAGGCUGUGCUGCUCCUCCUGUCAGAACAAGCGACGCCCUCGGCUCGGGGAUGACGGCUCUGCUGACGGAGCGCCUCACCCAAAGUCGUGCUCCAUCCCGGACAGCUCACAUCCAACGACCAGUAACGGGGCCGGAGGGGGGCAUGAAGGCCUGGUCCUCUCACCCCAAACUGGAACAGCCCUCAGGGGUCAUCCUAUCUCACCGCCGCCCACAGGACCCGCCAAGGCUUCUCCGGAGACUGGACCACGGCUCAGCGUCUCCCUCUGCCGCUCCUGCUUCCUCCCCUUCCCACCUCCUGCAGGUGCGGAGCAAUCACCCCCACGGGACUCGCGGCAACAUGAGCCUCAUAGGGCUGUUUUACUGUCCCUCCACGUGGGAUUCUUAUGCCAAACUGAUGGGUUCAAAUACCAGUUCCAAACUCACUAGCUGUGUAACUUUGGGCAAUAACCACUCAGUGCCUCAGUUUCCCCAUCUGUACAAUGGGGCGAUAUGACAAUUAAUGAGCUAAUACUUAUAAGGCCCUUGGAGCAGUGCUUGGCACAAGGUAAAUGGUAAAAAUAGAAAAAGGUAUUAUCUCUUAGCUCCCCCCAAAAAAAGCUCUGUGCUCCAGAGCACAGACUUCCCCCCAUUGCCAUUGUCAAUGGGGGAGCCGCCCCCCAGGCACGCUCACUAUCCAGCUCCAAUGGCCUCAAAAGGCCUGUUUGUAGAUCCAUAGAGGCCAGCUCACAUGGCCAAAGAAAGGGGUUGGGCAAGGCCACAGGUGAGGUCAGGGCCGGGAGUCUCUUGUUCCAGGUGAGGGGGCAACACUCAUCCCAGGCUGGUCGGUCAGCUCACAACAGAGCAGGUGAGAGAAUUCCAGAACAGGGAGGCACCAACAUGGGAAAAAGCUUAGGCCCUGGGGCAGCCCGGGUUCCAGUCCCGACCCUGUCACCUGCAGGUGUGUGUCCUUGGCCACGUCACUUAGUUCUCAUGUCUCCCAGCGUCUGUGCCUCGGAAGCAGGGCCAGCAGUGGUGCCUACGUUCCUGUUGCAAGAGUUGGAUGAGUUCAUGCUCGCAAAAUAUCUGGCAAAAUGGCUGUUUCAUAGGUGGUAAUAUCUUCCUCCCACCCUAUAUCAGUCAGUUAUGGCUGCAUAACAAACACCCCAAAAUGUCACGGCUUAAAACAGCAACACUUUUGCACGUGAAGCUGCCAUGUUGGCAGGGCUCAGGGGACAACUCAUUAUGCUCCAUGCGGCGUCAGCAGCGGUGACAUGAAUGUGGGGGCUGGAGGUGUCUCAAGAUUCGCUCCUCCCCCCGGACACUGGGCUAGGAUUGCUGCAGCAGCUCAGUCUCCUGGGGCUUCUCUCUCUGCCUCUGUGUGGUCUCUCCAGCACAGUGACUUCAGGAUACUAAAAUCUCUUACUUGGAUGCGCAGGGCACCACAGGUGCAUGUCCCAAGAGAGCAAACCAUGAAGAAGCUGGAUCACCCUUCAGGACCUGGCCUCAGAAGUCACUUUGCCACACUUGAUUGGUGGAGGCAGUUACCAGUGUCUGUCCAGUUUCAGGGGAAGGGAACACAGGCCGUACUGCGUGAUGGAGGAGUGUCAGCAUCACUGCGAGGAGACUGGGGGUGGGGUGUGUGUUGGUGUGGCCAUCUUUGGAAAACACAGUCUGCCCCAAGCCCCAUUCAGCAUGGUUCAUGCUAACCCUGCCUCCCUGGAGGCCCAGGCAGGAGCCAGGCGACACACACUGCUGCAGCCCGGGCUUCCCCAGCUAAAACAGAAAGGGCACAUCCGGGUUUAAUGCCCCACCUCCUUUAGCUCUUGAGGCCCUGGUCAAGCAGAACCUUCACCAGCCAGAAAGCACUAAGCCUUAGCAGCUAAGAACCCCCAGAGGACUUCAGCCUUCUCCAGCUCCAAACACCCACCAGCCCAGAAGCCCUUCACUCGUCCGCCGCGGCCCGUUCUCAUAGCAGCACACGUCUCCUGUGCUCUCCUCCCUCUGCUGCCCCACAGGGAUACAGGCACACGUUUACUUCCUCGCCCUCGUGGGAAGGAUACCACGUGUUCCCCCUAAGACAGCAGGCAUCCUACAGUCGGCUGGGAUUUUUUUACAACGAUAUUUCUUCUGUCAUGUGGAGCUGGAUCUGCCCUGACCAGCCCUGCUCUCUCAUCUGGCCUCUCCGGUUAUGGGUCUGGAGGGAGAAGACACUGGCCCAGGUGGGGACUGGACUUGUUUGUGAACUGGCCUCUAGCACGAUGCUUGAAACCAUCAGGGGGCAAAGUCAACAUCAAUCACAGCCCUGACAAGUUAGG
Molecule: long non-coding RNA, 8638 nt
Organism: Equus caballus (horse)
Lineage: Eukaryota; Metazoa; Chordata; Mammalia; Perissodactyla; Equidae
Source: Ensembl